UUUCUAGGUCUUUAGGGAUUUUACACUGCGUAUCUGGAAAAACAAGUCACCGUUUAAACACUAAGUCUACAGCUUGAAAGGCCUGGAAAGUAACAUUUUCUGUAGACGUCAGCUUCUCUCUGGUUUGAUGCCCCAUUCUUCUGCUGAUGCCACAUGCACUGCUGAUUAGUAUGGGGAAAUGGAAGAGGUCUCUUGAAAUAAGGUAGGUUUCUUUCUUUUCUACAAGGGCAUGGCUUGAUUAUCAUGUUCAUAAUUACUUUUCUAUUUAAAAUAAAUGAAGUCAAACA
RNAcentral lists this long non-coding RNA (287 nucleotides) under Calidris pygmaea (Spoon-billed sandpiper). RNAcentral describes it as "lncRNA (ENSCPGG00000016455.1)". The record is from RNAcentral. Lineage: Eukaryota; Metazoa; Chordata; Aves; Charadriiformes; Scolopacidae.